GCCUACAUGAAGCCGGAAUUGCUAGUAAUGGCAGGUCAGCAUACUGCCGUGAAUACGUUCCCGGGCCUUGUACACACCGCCCGUCACACCAUGAGAGUUGGGGAUACCCGAAGCCUGUGAGCCAACUAUAUAGAGGCAGCAGUCGAAGGUAGAAUCAAUGAUUGGGGUGAAGUCGUAACAAGGUACC
This 187-nucleotide ribosomal RNA is filed under the name uncultured bacterium. RNAcentral's name for it is "partial 16S ribosomal RNA". It matches the Rfam family "Bacterial small subunit ribosomal RNA", at positions 1314 to 1500 of the family's 1533-position model. The record is from RNAcentral.